Molecule: unclassified non-coding RNA, 328 nt
Filed under: soil metagenome
Description: partial contains 5.8S ribosomal RNA, internal transcribed spacer 2, and large subunit ribosomal RNA
Rfam family: 5.8S ribosomal RNA (bases 1-120)
Source: RNAcentral
GAUGAAGAACGUAGCGAAAUGCGAUAAGUAAUGUGAAUUGCAGAAUUCAGUGAAUCAUCGAAUCUUUGAACGCACAUUGCGCCCCCUGGUAUUCCGGGGGGCAUGCCUGUCCGAGCGUCAUUACAACCCUCAAGCUCAGCUUGGUGUUGGGCCCCGCCGCCCCGGCGGGCCCUAAAGUCAGUGGCGGUGCCGUCCGGCUCCGAGCGUAGUAAUUCUUCUCGCUCUGGAGGUCCGGUCGUGUGCUCGCCAGCAACCCCCAAUUUUUUUCAGGUUGACCUCGGAUCAGGUAGGGAUACCCGCUGAACUUAAGCAUAUCAAUAAGCGGAGA